Molecule: non-coding RNA, 102 nt
Filed under: Salisediminibacterium beveridgei
Lineage: Bacteria; Bacillati; Bacillota; Bacilli; Caryophanales; Bacillaceae
Description: Bacillus beveridgei TPP sequence
Rfam family: TPP riboswitch aptamer (THI element)
About the family: Vitamin B(1) in its active form thiamin pyrophosphate (TPP) is an essential coenzyme that is synthesised by coupling of pyrimidine and thiazole moieties in bacteria.
Source: Rfam by way of RNAcentral
ACGAACCGCUAGGGGUGCUUUAAAGCUGAGAGAGACUGCCGAGUCUUAACCCUGUCACCUGAACUGGCUAAUACCAGCGGAGGGAAGUGGUGCUGACACAUU